Molecule: ribosomal RNA, 253 nt
Filed under: uncultured bacterium
Lineage: Bacteria
Description: partial 16S ribosomal RNA
Rfam family: Bacterial small subunit ribosomal RNA
Source: RNAcentral
GACAGAGGGUGCAAACGUUGUUCGGAAUUACUGGGCGUAAAGCGCGUGUAGGCGGCCCUGCAAGUCGGGUGUGAAAUCCCACGGCUCAACCGUGGAAGUGCAUUCGAAACUGCAGGGCUAGAGUCCUGGAGAGGAAGGUGGAAUGCUUGGUGUAGAGGUGAAAUUCGUAGAUAUCAAGCGGAACACCGGUGGCGAAGGCGGCCUUCUGGACAGUGACUGACGCUGAGACGCGAAAGCGUGGGGAGCAAACUGG